Molecule: ribosomal RNA, 17 nt
Filed under: Zingiber corallinum
Lineage: Eukaryota; Viridiplantae; Streptophyta; Magnoliopsida; Zingiberales; Zingiberaceae
Description: partial 18S ribosomal RNA
Source: RNAcentral
CUGCGGCAGGAUCAUUG